GUAAAUUAGAGAUUAGUGGCACUAAUAAUAUACUAGAUUGCCUACUUACAACCAGAUGAGAAUGGUGAUGGUCUCUGGCUGCAGUCUGGCUCCACUGGUCUGGUGUAGAACAGGCUCUCUGGAGACUGUUUGUAACUGUGGUCACAAAAUUCAAUGUUCUGGGAGAACGGGAAGCAGCUCCAUUUUUUGGGGGCCCCUUGCCCAGCUCAAGGUCUGGGCCCCAGGGCCUGACGGUGAGUAUGCCCAUAAGGCUCACCCAUAAGUCCAC
Molecule: non-coding RNA, 268 nt
Organism: Pelobates cultripes (western spadefoot toad)
Lineage: Eukaryota; Metazoa; Chordata; Amphibia; Anura; Pelobatidae
Source: the annotation of a GenBank genome assembly